RNAcentral lists this ribosomal RNA (492 nucleotides) under uncultured bacterium. RNAcentral describes it as "partial 16S ribosomal RNA". It matches the Rfam family "Bacterial small subunit ribosomal RNA", at positions 29 to 507 of the family's 1533-position model. The record is from RNAcentral.
AGUGAACGCUGGCGGUAGGCCUAACACAUGCAAGUCGAACGGCAGCACAGUAAGAGCUUGCUCUUACGGGUGGCGAGUGGCGGACGGGUGAGGAAUACAUCGGAAUCUUCUUUUUCGUGGGGGAUAACGUAGGGAAACUUACGCUAAUACCUCAUACGACCUACGGGUUAGAGCAGUGGAUCUUCGGACCUUUCGCGAUUGUAUGAGCCGAUGUCGGAUUAGCUAGGUGGCGUGGUAAAGGCCCACCAAGGCAACGAUCCGUAGCUGGUCUGAGAGGAUGAUCAGCCACACUGGAACUGAGACACGGUCCAGACUCCUACGGGAGGCAGCAGUGGGGAAUCUUGGACAAUGGGCGCAAGCCUGAUCCAGCCAUACCGCGUGAGUGAAGAAGGCCUUCGGGUUGUAAAGCCCUUUUGUUGGGAAAGAAAAGCAGCAGGUUAAUACCCCGAUGUUCUGACGGUACCCAAAGAAUAAGCACCGGCUAACUUCGUG